This 349-nucleotide long non-coding RNA is filed under the name Anser brachyrhynchus (Pink-footed goose). RNAcentral describes it as "lncRNA (ENSABRG00000002940.1)". Lineage: Eukaryota; Metazoa; Chordata; Aves; Anseriformes; Anatidae. The record is from RNAcentral.
AUUUCUUAGCUGAAGUGUGUGUAACUGUCGUUCAUCUGGCAAUAUCAUUCUUCCUCAACAGGAUUCAUCAAUUGAAACCCCUGUGGAUGAUGGAAAUCUAACACUUCUUGCAGUGAAGAUACACCAGAAAGAUAAGCCUGAGCAGCGGAGACGUCAGCGCCGAUGGUAGCUGAACUACAGCUGUAAGACUGCCAAAAAACCUCUGAACUGUGCGGAUCGUUGACUGUCAGGACAACGUAGAUUUGGCCAGACAAGUGAGAUCAAAGGGCCAUCUAGCCCCAUAUACUGGCUCAGAGUGGCCUACAGUUUAUAUUCAAGGAAAAAAAUAAAAGACUAAGGUAAGCAUACA